AAAGUUAUUUUUCUCGUGCUCUUGACAUAACCAGACGCUGUUUUCUCACAAUGUAAUUUUAUCCUGAGAAAAUCUCGCGCUUUGUGAAUGGGACUGGUGUUUACAUGCUCGUUGGCAUCUUUGCCAUCAUAAACAUAGCUUAAUAAUCUACCGCUAUAGAGAUGGACUUUAUCUCUGCAUUAAGAGGGAGGAAUGUCCCCUUCUCAAGUGUAGGACGCUAAUGCGGAAGUCGUUAAGCUUGCAGGGAUGACGUAUUCUUGUAGGCCAACCCGGAAGUUAGCUGGUUCCCUCGACGAAACAUUAUUAGCCUUGCUGAACGGUUUUGUUUGAAAGAAAGUGUACAAUUAUUUGUGGCAGGUCUGUAUCAACGUAGAACUUUUACAGGAACUCACGGGACAUCGAAUACAAACGAUGGCAAAUUGGCAAAGCUUAAACGAAGUGGAUGAAGACUGGUGGGAAUUGGCAUACAAGUUAUUUCUUAGCAAUGAUCCAAUAAAAGUGAUUCUAAACCAUGCUAAUUUUUAUAUGAUGGGCGAUAAGUGGAAUGAUUUUGGAUUCAGCUGUGACACACAUAUUCCUCCAACUGGGAAAUUCCAUGAUGUUUCUAGAAGGGCAGUUUUGGUGGUGAUUUCAAGAACAAGGAAUAUGCACUGGGGAACCUGGAACAAGCUGAAUUCGGCACCUUCUAAACCUGUUCCUGAUCUACAGGAAUCAGACAAGCAGCUUAUAAACUGUAUUACUGACCUGAUGUAUAACAAGGAUGGCAGCCCUAGACCAUAUAAUGGAUAGGAUGAACAAUAUUGAUGAGUCUGAACCAGUGGCACAAUUCCCAGGGGUUUUAUGGGGACAUGUCCCCCCAACUUUUGAAAUCAUGCCGUCUCCUUUUCAACGAAGUUUUUUUGUUGUUGUUGUUUUGUUUUUGCUUGAUUGUUGGUUUUACUCAACACUCAAUAUUUCUGUCAAAGUCAGCGAUCAUGUCAGGUGUUUCAAUAGACCUACAGCCUAUUGAAAACUAACCUGAAAUGCACCUUAUAGUUUGCCAGUGACGGAAAAAGAUUUUUUUAUUAAGAUCAACACCUGCAUGUACAGCUUGUGAACAACUUGGGUAAAGGCAUUUUCCAAACAAAAUAAUCAAAAUACUACACAAAAAACCCACUAGAUACCAAAAUUACCAUGACCAAAACCAUUGUUUUUUUUUUUGGGGGGGGGACAUGUACCACAGACAGAUCAUCAGUACCAUGUUUUUUUUUUUUUUAAAUCAUGUUUUAUGUACCACCUUGUAAAUAACAUGGUACAUGAAUGUGGUAACUUUAUUAUGUUAAUGUCACAGGCAAUUUUUUUUUUUAAAGUUAAUUUUGAUCAAAUUCAACAUGUGCUGUGAUUUGUUUUGAGAUGUUUUGUCUUGACUGCAUAUGCAUCUUUUAUCUGGUUCAUUGUUUUAACCACUCACUUUCUCUGCUCAUUAUACGCAGCUGUUUUUGUAGAUUUUUUUUUCAGGUUUCGCUAUCCCUGUAAGAACAUUUGUUCUUUUUUUAUGACAAUCAUGUAUUCAAUCUAAUUACUAUUUUUUGCCUUUACAUUUAUAUUAAAAAAAUUAAUUGGCUUAAAUUUAGCAAACA
Long non-coding RNA from Ictalurus punctatus (channel catfish), 1619 nucleotides. RefSeq lists it as uncharacterized. The record is from RefSeq and is a predicted model, not a curated record. Lineage: Eukaryota; Metazoa; Chordata; Actinopteri; Siluriformes; Ictaluridae. The transcript is spliced from 2 exons.